UAAAAACCCCGACUUCGGAAGGGGUGUAUUUAUUAGAUACAAAACCAAUGCCCUUCGGGGCUCUUUGGUGAUUCAUGAUAACUAUACGAAUCGCACGGCCUUGCGCCGGCGAUGGUUCAUUCAAAUUUCUUCCCUAUCAACUUUCGAUGUUUGGGUAUUGGCCAAACAUGGUUGCAACGGGUAACGGAGGGUUAGGGCUCGACCCCGGAGAAGGAGCCUGAGAAACGGCUACUACAUCCAAGGAAGGCAGCAGGCGCGCAAAUUACCCAAUCCCGACUCGGGGAGGUAGUGACAAUAAAUACUGAUACAGGGCCCUUUCGGGCCUUGUAAUUGGAAUGAGUACAAUUUAAAUCCCUUAACGAGGAACAAUUGGAGGGCAAGUCUGGUGCCAGCAGCCGCGGUAAUUCCAGCUCCAAUAGCGUAUAUUAAAGUUGUUGUGGUUAAAAAGCUCGAAGUUGAACCUUGGGCCUGGCUGGCCGGUCCGCCUCACCGCGUGCACUGGUCCGGCCAGGCCUUUCCAUCUUUGGAAAACUUACCUUUCUCGAUCGUAGCGGGAAAACAUGUUAAUUAUUUAGA
Molecule: ribosomal RNA, 576 nt
Filed under: uncultured eukaryote
Lineage: Eukaryota
Description: SSU rRNA
Rfam family: Eukaryotic small subunit ribosomal RNA
Source: RNAcentral